AGCACCAUCUGGAUCUUGUAAUGAAAAUAUGGAAAGUGAAGCUUAGCUUAGCUGAUCCAUUAGGAAUAAUGGAAAUAAAAAAUCAAUAGCUUGACCCAGACCAGAAACAAUUUGCUCCUGUCCAAAUUUCCCAGGUGCCAUAGAUACGUCCUAAAUUCAAUCACUACCUUUCUACUGUGGAUGGAUCUACAAAACCAAAUCAAAAUUCCCACUUGUUACUGCUCAGGAUUUUCUACCUCGGCCUCGGCUUCGUCCAUACGAAGCCUUUUCGGACUUGAUUUCAGUUUACAAUCCUCCACAUUGGGAGCUUUAUACUUUGAUGGUAGAGAUGUUGGUGACUCGGUUUUGGACUCACAAGGCUCGGUUUCUGAUGCAAUCCUUGAUGGCAGUUCGGAGUUUGGGUUCGGAACUAAGGCAUUGCCAGCUUUAUGUAUGUAUGUAUAAAAUCCAUAACAGAUUAACAGAAGAUUUUAUAUUAUACAACAGAUAGACACAACAAUACAAAAAAAGCGUAAGCAUGACAUAGAAUACACAAAUUAACAUAUAUGAGCACCAUUUGGAUCUUGUAAUGAAAAUAUGGAAAGUGAACCUUAGCUGAUCCAUAAGGAAUAAUGGAAAUAAAAAAUCAAUAGCUUGACCCAGACCAGAAACAAUUUGCUCCUGUCCAAAUUUCCCAGGUGCCAUAGAUACGUCCUAAAUUCAAUCACUACCUUUCUACUGUGGAUGGAUCUACAAAACCAAAUCAAAAUUCCCACUUGUUACUGCUCAGGAUUUUCUACCUCGGCCUCGGCUUCGUCCAUACGAAGCCUUUUCGGACUUGAUUUCAGUUUACAAUCCUCCACAUUGGGAGCUUUAUACUUUGAUGGUAGAGAUGUUGGUGACUCGGUUUUGGAC
Molecule: long non-coding RNA, 894 nt
Filed under: Gossypium barbadense (sea-island cotton)
Lineage: Eukaryota; Viridiplantae; Streptophyta; Magnoliopsida; Malvales; Malvaceae
Description: long non-coding RNA (GBAR_LNC008665)
Source: RNAcentral